UUGUGGCGCGGACCGGCAGAGAGAAGCUCGGGGUGAUGUCACCAGUCCGGGGGUUCCGCUCAGACGUGUUGCUGCCGGUUGAGGUUUGAUGGCGGGGAAUUUCUGGCAGAGCUCUCACUAUUUACAAUGGAUUUUGGAC
This is a long non-coding RNA of Rana temporaria (common frog), 139 nucleotides long. RefSeq lists it as uncharacterized. The record is from RefSeq and is a predicted model, not a curated record. The transcript is spliced from 4 exons. Lineage: Eukaryota; Metazoa; Chordata; Amphibia; Anura; Ranidae.